RNAcentral lists this ribosomal RNA (496 nucleotides) under uncultured bacterium. RNAcentral's name for it is "partial 16S ribosomal RNA". It matches the Rfam family "Bacterial small subunit ribosomal RNA", at positions 29 to 507 of the family's 1533-position model. The record is from RNAcentral.
AUGAACGCUGGCGGCGUGCCUAAUACAUGCAAGUCGAGCGAACAGACGAGGAGCUUGCUCCUCUGACGUUAGCGGCGGACGGGUGAGUAACACGUGGAUAACCUACCUAUAAGACUGGGAUAACUUUGGGAAACCGGAGCUAAUACCGGAUAAUAUAUUGAACCGCAUGGUUCAAUAGUGAAAGACGGUUUUGCUGUCACUUAUAGAUGGAUCCGCGCCGCAUUAGCUAGUUGGUAAGGUAACGGCUUACCAAGGCAACGAUGCGUAGCCGACCUGAGAGGGUGAUCGGCCACACUGGAACUGAGACACGGUCCAGACUCCUACGGGAGGCAGCAGUAGGGAAUCUUCCGCAAUGGGCGAAAGCUUGACGGAGCAACGCCGCGUGAGUGAUGAAGGUCUUCGGAUCGUAAAACUCUGUUAUUAGGGAAGAACAAAUGUGUAAGUAACUAUGCACGUCUUGACGGUACCUAAUCAGAAAGCCACGGCUAACUACGUG